GUCGAGCGGUAACAGGUUUCCCGCAAGGGAGAUGCUGACGAGCGGCGAACGGGUGAGCAAUACAUGAACAAUCUGCCCUGAAGCUUGGAAUAGCGUCUGGAAACGGACGGUAAUACUGGAUGUGGUCGCCCUCCGCAUGGGGGGUUGUCUAAAGCCGGGGACCGCAAGGCCUGGCACUUCGGGAUGGGUUCAUGUCCUAUCAGCUAGUUGGCGGGGUAACGGCCCACCAAGGCAAAGACGGGUAGCUGGUCUGAGAGGAUGGUCAGCCACAUUGGGACUGAGAUACUGCCCAGACUCCUACGGGAGGCAGCAGUGGGGAAUAUUGGACAAUGGGCGAAAGCCUGAUCCAGCCAUGCCGCGUGUGUGAAGAAGGCCUUUUGGUUGUAAAGCACUUUAAGCGAGGAGGAGGAGCUCUAGGUUAAUACCCUGGAUGCUUGGACGUUACUCGCAGAAUAAGCACCGGCUAACUCUGUGCCAGCAGCCGCGGUAAUACAGAGGGUGCAAGCGUUAAUCGGAUUUACUGGGCGUAAAGCGCGCGUAGGCGGCUAAUUAAGUCAAAUGUGAAAUCCCCGAGCUUAACUUGGGAAUUGCAUUCGAUACUGGUUAGCUAGAGUGUGGGAGAGGAUGGUAGAAUUCCAGGUGUAGCGGUGAAAUGCGUAGAGAUCUGGAGGAAUACCGAUGGCGAAGGCAGCCAUCUGGCCUAACACUGACGCUGAGGUGCGAAAGCAUGGGGAGCAAACAGGAUUAGAUACCCUGGUAGUCCAUGCCGUAAACGAUGUCUACUAGCCGUUGGAUCGUGAGGGUUCAGUGGCUAAGCAAAAGUGAUAAGUAUCCCACCUGGGGGAGUACGUUCGCAAGAAUGAAACUCAAAGGAAUUUGA
RNAcentral lists this ribosomal RNA (880 nucleotides) under uncultured bacterium. RNAcentral's name for it is "bacterial SSU rRNA". It matches the Rfam family "Bacterial small subunit ribosomal RNA", at positions 61 to 914 of the family's 1533-position model. The record is from RNAcentral.